UGCUCAGGAUGAACGCUGGCGGCGUGCUUAACACAUGCAAGUCGAACGGUGAAGCCCAGCUUGCUGGGUGGAUCAGUGGCGAACGGGUGAGUAACACGUGAGCAACCUGCCCCUGACUCUGGGAUAAGCGCUGGAAACGGCGUCUAAUACUGGAUACGAACCGCGACCGCAUGGUCAGUGGUUGGAAAGAAUUUCGGUUGGGGAUGGGCUCGCGGCCUAUCAGCUUGUUGGUGAGGUAAUGGCUCACCAAGGCGUCGACGGGUAGCCGGCCUGAGAGGGUGACCGGCCACACUGGGACUGAGACACGGCCCAGACUCCUACGGGAGGCAGCAGUGGGGAAUAUUGCACAAUGGGCGCAAGCCUGAUGCAGCAACGCCGCGUGAGGGAUGACGGCCUUCGGGUUGUAAACCUCUUUUAGCAGGGAAGAAGCGAAAGUGACGGUACCUGCAGAAAAAGCGCCGGCUAACUACGUGCCAGCAGCCGCGGUAAUACGUAGGGCGCAAGCGUUAUCCGGAAUUAUUGGGCGUAAAGAGCUCGUAGGCGGUUUGUCGCGUCUGCUGUGAAAUCCCGAGGCUCAACCUCGGGCCUGCAGUGGGUACGGGCAGACUAGAGUGCGGUAGGGGAGAUUGGAAUUCCUGGUGUAGCGGUGGAAUGCGCAGAUAUCAGGAGGAACACCGAUGGCGAAGGCAGAUCUCUGGGCCGUAACUGACGCUGAGGAGCGAAAGGGUGGGGAGCAAACAGGCUUAGAUACCCUGGUAGUCCACCCCGUAAACG
Molecule: ribosomal RNA, 774 nt
Filed under: bacterium
Lineage: Bacteria
Description: bacterial SSU rRNA
Rfam family: Bacterial small subunit ribosomal RNA
Source: RNAcentral